UACGUAUGGAGCAAGCGUUAUCCGGAUUUACUGGGUGUAAAGGGUGCGUAGGUGGCAGUGCAAGUCAGAUGUGAAAGGUCGGGGCUCAACCCCGGAGCUGCAUUUGAAACUGCUCGGCUAGAGUACAGGAGAGGCAGGCGGAAUUCCUAGUGUAGCGGUGAAAUGCGUAGAUAUUAGGAGGAACACCAGUGGCGAAGGCGGCCUGCUAGACUGUUACUGACACUGAGGCACGAAAGCGUGGGGAGCAAACAGG
This 253-nucleotide ribosomal RNA is filed under the name Anaerobutyricum hallii. RNAcentral describes it as "partial 16S ribosomal RNA". It matches the Rfam family "Bacterial small subunit ribosomal RNA", at positions 524 to 776 of the family's 1533-position model. Lineage: Bacteria; Bacillati; Bacillota; Clostridia; Lachnospirales; Lachnospiraceae. The record is from RNAcentral.